UAACUCAAAAUCCCAAACCUAGACACCCAUUUAAGAUAAUAUACAAGAAAAAAUAAAAAAACCUAGACCUAGACUUGGAGAGAUCAGCCGUUGGACUAAGAGAACAACCCCCAUGGAGAGCUUCUUCUUCAAUCCUUGAACCACUCUAGGCCGCCGAAUACCCCACUGUCACCUAGCCUCACCACCACUCAGCUGCGAAAUUAGGAACAAAGCACACACACAUACUGGAAAAAGGAGAAUGGAAAAAAACUUAAAGGGGAUAUAGUAGAGGAGGGAACAGACAGAGAAAGAGAGGAAAGCUCAUCCUCUCUAUCACUGUCCCUCUCGCCACGAGAACCAGCUAAAAACAACUUCAAAAUAGUAUGAAAAUCCAACUCAAAUCAGCCCUGCCGCAACCCCGAAAACGCAUCAAACUUCACUUCUGGUCAGCUCUUUGAGCUUCGUUGUUCUUCGGGUCAAUUAGAGUUCGAGUUGUCGGCGAGAUUGGAGUCUCUCCGGCGAAGUUCGGCCAUUCAGCCUCCUGUCGAGGUCCUGUUCACGAUCUUGCUGCUCAUGUGCUUCAAAGCAGUCUAAGCAUUUGAAUUUCAAAUUCAAUUAAAGGUAUGGAUUAAUUUGCAACAGCUCGAGCAUGA
Molecule: long non-coding RNA, 632 nt
Organism: Nicotiana tabacum (common tobacco)
Lineage: Eukaryota; Viridiplantae; Streptophyta; Magnoliopsida; Solanales; Solanaceae
Source: RefSeq, a predicted model, not a curated record